UACAGAGAGUGCGAACGUUGUUCGGAAUUACUGGGCUUAAAGCGCACGUAGGCGGCAUCGUAAGUGUCCGGUGAAAUCCCACGGCUCACCCGUGGAACUGCCUGGCAGACUGCGAUGCUCGAGUAUGGUAGGGGAGAGCGGAACUCCUGGUGGAGCGGUGAAAUGCGUAGAUAUCAGGAGGAACACCGGUGGCGAAGGCGGCUCUCUGGUCCAUGUCUGACGCUGAGGUGCGAAAGCUAGGGGAGCAAACGGG
Molecule: ribosomal RNA, 253 nt
Filed under: uncultured bacterium
Lineage: Bacteria
Description: partial 16S ribosomal RNA
Rfam family: Bacterial small subunit ribosomal RNA
Source: RNAcentral